This 77-nucleotide transfer RNA is filed under the name bacterium. RNAcentral's name for it is "tRNA-Val". It matches the Rfam family "tRNA". From Rfam's summary of the family: Transfer RNA (tRNA) molecules are approximately 80 nucleotides in length. The record is from RNAcentral. RNAcentral also lists the same sequence under 1 other name.
GGGCGAAUGGCUCAGUUGGUCAGAGCGCCGGUCUCACAUACCGGAGAUCACAGGUUCAACUCCUGUUUCGCCCACCA